ACUUCAGCGGAACAAAUGAUCAUUGAUGUCCUUCACCUUGGGAAGGCAACAGUACCCAAGAUAGAAAUUCAGGAAAAACUAGCCAAAAUGUACAAGACCAUGCCAGAUGUCAUCUUUGUAUUCAGAUUCAGAACUCAUUUUGGUGGUGGGGAUCGGAGGAGCG
Molecule: non-coding RNA, 163 nt
Organism: Vicugna pacos (alpaca)
Lineage: Eukaryota; Metazoa; Chordata; Mammalia; Artiodactyla; Camelidae
Source: RefSeq, a predicted model, not a curated record